UGUGAGGAUGUAAAGAGGUGAGGAUAAAAAUGGUAAUAGGUAUUUUGAAAGUUAUGGAUGAAGAGAAGAUGAAGGUGUGUCAUAAAUGUGUAAUUGGGUGGUGUAGGAGUAGGGACCAUAGGGUGGACCACUUUGAAUUUCAGCACCAGGUGGAGUGAAUGUCAUCACUAGGGAAUCCAAUCUCUCCAUGUAGCCCUACCC
RNAcentral lists this long non-coding RNA (201 nucleotides) under Vigna radiata. RNAcentral's name for it is "long non-coding RNA (VRAD_LNC003293)". The record is from RNAcentral. Lineage: Eukaryota; Viridiplantae; Streptophyta; Magnoliopsida; Fabales; Fabaceae.